CCACAGCUACAACCGCUCGGAUUAGAGUACAAAAGACCGGAAUCGGCACUUUAAACUGGCGAGUCUUAGUCUAAAA
Regulatory RNA element from Granulicatella elegans ATCC 700633, 76 nucleotides. NCBI's taxonomy places the organism in Bacteria, Bacillati, Bacillota, Bacilli, Lactobacillales, Carnobacteriaceae. The record is from Rfam.